Molecule: ribosomal RNA, 694 nt
Filed under: uncultured bacterium
Lineage: Bacteria
Description: bacterial SSU rRNA
Rfam family: Bacterial small subunit ribosomal RNA
Source: RNAcentral
AACGCUAGCUACAGGCUUAACACAUGCAAGUCGCGGGGCAGCAUUUUCUUAGCUUGCUAAGGAAGAUGGCGACCGGCGCACGGGUGAGUAACGCGUAUCCAACCUUCCCAUGUCCACGGGAUAGCCCGUCGAAAGGCGGAUUAAUACCGUAUGAGGUCGCAUGCGGGCAUCUAAGUGUGACGAAAGGUUUUGCGGACAUGGAUGGGGAUGCGUCCGAUUAGCUUGUUGGCGGGGUAACGGCCCACCAAGGCGACGAUCGGUAGGGGUUCUGAGAGGAAGGUCCCCCACAUUGGAACUGAGACACGGUCCAAACUCCUACGGGAGGCAGCAGUGAGGAAUAUUGGUCAAUGGGCGGAAGCCUGAACCAGCCAAGUAGCGUGAGGAAUGACUGCCCUAUGGGUUGUAAACCUCUUUUAUAAGGGAAUAAAAUACGGGACGUGUCCUGUUUUGCAUGUACCUUAUGAAUAAGGACCGGCUAAUUCCGUGCCAGCAGCCGCGGUAAUACGGAAGGUCCGGGCGUUAUCCGGAUUUAUUGGGUUUAAAGGGAGCGUAGGCCGGAGAUUAAGCGUGUUGUGAAAUGUAGAUGCUCAACAUCUGCACUGCAGCGCGAACUGGUUUCCUUGAGUACGCACAAAGUGGGCGGAAUUCGUGGUGUAGCGGUGAAAUGCUUAGAUAUCACGAAGAACUCCGAUUG